This 55-nucleotide transfer RNA is filed under the name Clostridiales bacterium. RNAcentral describes it as "tRNA-Leu". It matches the Rfam family "tRNA", at positions 21 to 71 of the family's 71-position model. From Rfam's summary of the family: Transfer RNA (tRNA) molecules are approximately 80 nucleotides in length. Their secondary structure includes four short double-helical elements and three loops (D, anti-codon, and T loops). The record is from RNAcentral. Lineage: Bacteria; Bacillati; Bacillota; Clostridia; Eubacteriales.
GCUCGUCGGGCUCAUAACCCGAAGGUCGUUGGUUCAAAUCCAACUCCCGCAACCA